GGAGAGAUGCUCGAGUGGUUGAAGAGGCACGCCUGGAAAGCGUGUAUACGCCUAAAGUGUAUCGCGGGUUCGAAUCCCGCUUUCUCCGCCA
This 91-nucleotide transfer RNA is filed under the name Mediterranea sp. (in: CFB group bacteria). RNAcentral describes it as "Mediterranea sp. tRNA-Ser". It matches the Rfam family "tRNA". Rfam says of the family: Transfer RNA (tRNA) molecules are approximately 80 nucleotides in length. Their secondary structure includes four short double-helical elements and three loops (D, anti-codon, and T loops). Further hydrogen bonds mediate the characteristic L-shaped molecular structure. tRNAs have two regions of fundamental functional importance: the anti-codon, which is responsible for specific mRNA codon recognition, and the 3' end, to which the tRNAs corresponding amino acid is attached (by aminoacyl-tRNA synthetases). tRNAs cope with the degeneracy of the genetic code in two manners: having more than one tRNA (with a specific anti-codon) for a particular amino acid; and 'wobble' base-pairing, i.e. permitting non-standard base-pairing at the 3rd anti-codon position. Lineage: Bacteria; Pseudomonadati; Bacteroidota; Bacteroidia; Bacteroidales; Bacteroidaceae. The record is from RNAcentral.